AUAUUAUGGAUGUUUUUUUAGGGAAUGUUUUAUUUUGAGAAACAGAUAGCCAGAUUUUCAUUUAGUUAGGGCUUUCGUAUGUCUGAUCAUUGGCCAAAUUGGGAGUUUUAGAUUUAAGGUCCAUUGAGGUCAUCUCAUUUCACUAGUCAUAUACUAGUGGUGGACAUUCUUUUAUCGUGCUCUCGACCAUGUGUACAUAUUAUCAUAGUCCAACUUCAUUCUGAAGAACUGGUGAAGGAUUUUUUUUAAGUAAACAUCUCUUGUCCACUGUCUCACUCAGUCUAGAGCUGCCAAGAUAAUUUUUUUGUCUUUUGAGAAUAUUUUUCAUUACACAAUUUUUAAUCCCGGAUGAUUGUGACCGGCCAGACUUAAAUUCCUGUAAUUAUGCUGCCAGGUCCCGUCUGUAAAAUAUUUCUUUGUCGAUGUCUUAUAUUUUUAGCAUAAACAGCGAUGCGAAAGUUGUCGAAGCAUUGCGAGCGCCCUCUUGUGUUUUCCGUUGAAUAGAGCAUACACAGUUGCGUAACAAUUUGCAUAUGACAUGCAGUGCGAAAAAGCCUUUUAUUCCGUGCAGUGUCUCAAAAGCAUAGGGCUUCGGACGCACAUUCCGUGAAUUUUUCGCUAGUUUUCUUGGAGAGUAAGCAAGCAUGGGUAGGUCACUUGACUGCUUGUCGUUGCUGCUGCCAGCCACACCUUAUUGCGAGCCAGCUUGUCUAUAUUUUGCUGUGUUUCUCACGUGGUUUUGCCAUGGUUAGCACGCCGCAUGUGCAUACACAUAUCAUGUACAUGCAUAUCGUGUAGUUGCCCAAACAUCCCGAGGCAUAGGUACACAGGCCGCAACUGCUCCGGUAAGUGUUUCAACUUCGUAAAUUUUGAUGUUAUCUUAAAUAGCACUUUACGACACAUUUUUAUGCCAUGAAUACUCGAGGUUGGAAGCCAAGUCUGUAUGAAACAUUUUUAUGCCAUGAAAUAAAUAUCCCAGGUUGAAAGCCAAGUCUAUAUGAAAAUUGUGCAUAAGAUGACUUGAAUUUUCGAUACCGAACCUCCUGGUAAUAUUGACUGUAUACUUGUACAUACUUCGAUCCUAAAUACAUGUUUCUUGUAUGUUGAAUUAUAGGGUCAAUGCACUUUAUUGAACUCAAAUUUGGAUAGCGUGGAUGGAAAGAGAAAUAAUAGAAUGUUUUAGCCUGAAAUGAAACACAUGAGACAUAUAGAUGGAUGUACGAAUACAGAAUAUUGAAUACUCUUUUUAUGAGCCUUACUGUUUAAACAAACAAAUGUUAAGAUAUAGAUGUACGGUAUAAAAUGCAUUGUAAAUUCAUCAAUAUAGAAUAACUACGGAUGUGUACACAUGUACUGUGGAGAUGAAACUUUUUGAUGGCACUGAUGAUUAUUUAAUAUUCCUUCAUCGAAACAUUUAUUAGUAUUUAUGAGAUUACUUAAUAUGUACAGUAAUUUUAUUACAGCUACUGCUUGUGGUUCUGUGGUUCCUGAGUGGUCACAAAUAGAGAAGCCUUCUCGAGUAGACCAGUGUAUCCCUUAUCCAGCAUCCAUAAUAUUUGGACUGCUGAAGAAUGACUGUCGUUUUUUUGUAAUAAAAUUUUGAUCAAUUUAUAGUGGAAUAUAUACCCAGUGUCACUUUCAAAUUUCUGCGUAACCUUUCCAGCUCGGUUACA
Patiria miniata (bat star) is the source of this 1673-nucleotide long non-coding RNA. RefSeq lists it as uncharacterized. The transcript has 2 exons. NCBI's taxonomy places the organism in Eukaryota, Metazoa, Echinodermata, Asteroidea, Valvatida, Asterinidae. The record is from RefSeq and is a predicted model, not a curated record.